ACAUCAAUUCCCCCAGUGAUGGAGACAAGGCAGAAUCUCUCAGGGAAAUGCCCACAUUAAAAGGACUUUUUUUUUCCUAACUUUAUAAAGUUCAGUUUAUAUUAAUAGCUUCUGGAGCUUUAACUGUGAGCCACAGUAAGUACUUUUAAAUGUUGCACAACUGUUAGUUAUUAGUAUUGACAGUAAUUAGGUGUACAUUGGUUG
RNAcentral lists this long non-coding RNA (204 nucleotides) under Bos taurus (domestic cattle). RNAcentral describes it as "long non-coding RNA NONBTAT018418". The record is from RNAcentral. Lineage: Eukaryota; Metazoa; Chordata; Mammalia; Artiodactyla; Bovidae.